GCUCAAAACCUCUUUGACAAGGCUGCCUUGAAGUUCCAGGAGGUGGUUGCUUUAGCUUUCUUCAACUGGCGAAACAUUCACAUGUGUGCGGCAGGGAAAAGGAUUCCCUUAGAUGAGUCUGCUGGAAAGGAGGUAGUGUCAGCAUAACUUCAAGUGGCUUAUGACUGGGUCAAGGAGAAAUAUUUUUUGGCAAGAGAGAAGAAGUAGGAGGAGGCGCUCUUGAUGCUAGAACUGGGGUAACAGCAAUUUGAAAUGCCUAAACUUCAUUGGUCAUUUGUGCUUGCUAAGAAAAUAGAUCUAUCUGACUGGGACCCUACAGAAACUCUUACACUUUUUGACAGUGCAGAGGAGAAGAUGA
Molecule: unclassified non-coding RNA, 358 nt
Filed under: Hevea brasiliensis (rubber tree)
Lineage: Eukaryota; Viridiplantae; Streptophyta; Magnoliopsida; Malpighiales; Euphorbiaceae
Source: RNAcentral